AAGAUGGCAACAUGUAGUUGUUAAUGUUUAAAAUUUCUCACACGGGCAGAUGAAAUACAAUAUCUUAUUUAAUUAAAUUUAUAUAUUUAUUUAAUCCUAGUGUUCAAAAUUACUUCUCUAAAAUUUGAGUGAGCGUUUUAUAUUUUGCUGCCAGAGUUUUAGCCAAAUUCAUCAUAUUCAAUGCUUAGCUUAAUUCAUGUUUAUGUAUCAAUUUAUUAGCAUGGAAGUAGACCACCCCUUUAAAGGCAGAGAUGAACAAGGUCACUGAGUGUUUUCCUCACUAACAAAUGUACAUGUACGUUUUAUUAGAUGCGCACACAAGAAGAGACAAGAGAAGCCCGGUAAAAAGUGUGUGAAAUGCAUAUACAU
RNAcentral lists this long non-coding RNA (369 nucleotides) under Daucus carota (carrot). RNAcentral's name for it is "long non-coding RNA (DCAR_LNC001695)". Lineage: Eukaryota; Viridiplantae; Streptophyta; Magnoliopsida; Apiales; Apiaceae. The record is from RNAcentral.